Molecule: unclassified non-coding RNA, 378 nt
Filed under: Zea mays
Lineage: Eukaryota; Viridiplantae; Streptophyta; Magnoliopsida; Poales; Poaceae
Description: misc RNA Zm00001eb176510
Source: RNAcentral
CUGGUCCAUCCAGAUCCACAGUCGCCAUCGCCCCCACCUCUCGUCGUCGUCUCCGUGCACCACUCGGCCCCCACUGCCGGCCGCGCCUCCCAGCCACCUCGUGCUGCUCUGCCACCCCGCCCAUCCUCCACUGCCCCUAUGGCUGCCACGGGCGAGCGCUGCCCGAGCAGCCGACCGCCCUUUCCCCGCCGUCUUCAGCUGCCGCGCGCUGCCCCGCCUCCCCGCCAGGCCUCCACUGCCCACUUCUCCAGCGGCUACAGUGGAAGGAAAGGAGAAGGACACCGGGCAGCGGUAGCUGGAUCUGGCAAGCACAGGGCCGCACCACCGGUGGCGCCUGGAUCCGCGUUGCUUGCAACCGCCCACCCCCAGCAGACCUAA